This 68-nucleotide transfer RNA is filed under the name Psolodesmus mandarinus. RNAcentral's name for it is "tRNA-Gln". Lineage: Eukaryota; Metazoa; Arthropoda; Insecta; Odonata; Calopterygidae. The record is from RNAcentral.
UACUUCUUGGUGUAUGAUGCACGGGAUUUUUUGAUGUUCCUGGAACAGUUUAAUUCUGUAAGAGGUAA